GGACGGACGCUGGCGGCGUGCUUAACACAUGCAAGUCGAGCGGUAAGGCCCUUUCGGGGGUACGACGAGCGGCGAACGGGUGAGUAACACGUGGGUGACCUGCCCUCAGCUCUGGGAUAAGGCCUGGGAAACCGGGUCUAAUACUGGAUAUGACUCCGAUGGACGCAUGUUGUGGGGUGGAAAGCCUUGUGCGGCUGAGGAUGGGCCCGCGGCCUAUCAGCUUGUUGGUGGGGUGAUGGCCUACCAAGGCGACGACGGGUAGCCGGCCUGAGA
This 273-nucleotide ribosomal RNA is filed under the name uncultured bacterium. Its description in RNAcentral is "partial 16S ribosomal RNA". It matches the Rfam family "Bacterial small subunit ribosomal RNA", at positions 27 to 297 of the family's 1533-position model. The record is from RNAcentral.